CUCCCUCAGCCAGCUGCAAUCAGUCCCCGCUGUCACGCUGUGUGGAAUCUGUGCUAGCUGCUUUGCCGGCAUCAAAGAUUUUCAGAUCGAUUAUGCUGUCUGCUGCAGUCUAGAUCUAUCAACUGCAGAGCUGCUGUGAGCCUUCCUGAUCCCGGGACAGCAGCUGCAGUAUACUGUAUCUCACUGCCAGUCUGCUGAAAGUGAAAGCUCACAUCCCAGCAGUCUCCUCUCAUACAGCGUGAAACCAUAGGGAUGGAAGAGAGAGGAGCAGCGCCCAGCCAGACGUCUGAAUGUAGCAGUGUCUUGGAUCUGUCCUGUACGUAUGAUAUAUCAGAAGGGCUCCUGCAACAGGAGCCUUCACCUGGAACAUUGGGAGAAGAUUUAUGUCUUGAUCUAUCUCCUGCUUUAUCGCUGCCAUCACAGAGCAAUACAGCACAAUCAUAGAAAGCUUUGGUGUCAUUACAUCCAGCCUGGCAACAAAAGACUCAUAAGUGUUGUCACAUUUGUGGAAGCAGAAUGGCAGAUGAUUGAAGCUCUACGUGACUCAGCCGACUGACAACAGAUGGAACGACACCCGUUUCCCUAAAUGAUUAAUGGGCCUGCUCCUGUCAGAAUCUACUUUUUCCUUUUCCA
Pseudophryne corroboree (corroboree frog) is the source of this 633-nucleotide long non-coding RNA. RefSeq lists it as uncharacterized. NCBI's taxonomy places the organism in Eukaryota, Metazoa, Chordata, Amphibia, Anura, Myobatrachidae. The transcript is spliced from 3 exons. The record is from RefSeq and is a predicted model, not a curated record.